UAAUACGAAGGGUGCAAGCGUUACUCGGAAUUACUGGGCGUAAAGCGUGCGUAGGUGGUGGUUUAAGUCUGUUGUGAAAGCCCUGGGCUCAACCUGGGAAUUGCAGUGGAUACUGGGUCACUAGAGUGUGGUAGAGGGUAGCGGAAUUCCCGGUGUAGCAGUGAAAUGCGUAGAGAUCGGGAGGAACAUCCGUGGCGAAGGCGGCUACCUGGACCAACACUGACACUGAGGCACGAAAGCGUGGGGAGCAAACAGGA
Molecule: ribosomal RNA, 257 nt
Filed under: uncultured prokaryote
Description: partial 16S ribosomal RNA
Rfam family: Bacterial small subunit ribosomal RNA
Source: RNAcentral